This 381-nucleotide ribosomal RNA is filed under the name uncultured bacterium. RNAcentral describes it as "bacterial SSU rRNA". It matches the Rfam family "Bacterial small subunit ribosomal RNA", at positions 524 to 904 of the family's 1533-position model. The record is from RNAcentral.
UACGUAGGGUGCGAGCGUUAAUCGGAAUUACUGGGCGUAAAGCGUGCGCAGGUGGUUUGUUAAGUCAGAUGUGAAAGCCCCGAGCUUAACUUGGGAACUGCGUUUGAAACUGGCAAGCUAGAGUCUGUCAGAGGGGGGUAGAAUUCCACGUGUAGCAGUGAAAUGCGUAGAGAUGUGGAGGAAUACCAAUAGCGAAGGCAGCCCCCUGGGAUAAGACUGACGCUCAUGCACGAAAGCGUGGGGAGCAAACAGGAUUAGAUACCCUGGUAGUCCACGCCCUAAACGAUGUCAACUGGUUGUUGGGCAACUUGAUUGUUCAGUAACGAAGCUAACGCGAGAAGUUGACCGCCUGGGGAGUACGGUCGCAAGAUUAAAACUCAA